CCGCCACAUUGGGACUGAGACACGGCCCAAACUCCUUCGGGAGGCAGCAGUGGGGAAUUUUGGACAAUGGGGGCAACCCUGAUCCAGCCAUGCCGCGUGUAUGAAGACCGCCUUCGGGUUGUAAAGUACUUUUGUCGGGGAAGAAAAGGUUAGUGUUAAUACCACUGACUGAUGACGGUACCCGAAGAAUAAGCACCGGCUAACUACGUGCCAGCAGCCGCGGUAAUACGUAGGGUGCAAGCGUUAAUCGGAAUUACUGGGCGUAAAGCGGGCGCAGACGGUUACAUAAGUCAGGUGUGAAAUCCCCGAGCUCAACUUGGGAAUGGCGCUUGUAACUGUGUAGCUAGAGUGUGUCAGAGGUAGGUAGAAUUCCGCGUGUAGCAGUGAAAUGCGUAGAGAUGCGGAGGAAUACCGAUGGUGAAGGCAGCCUCCUGGGAUAACACUGACGUUCAUGCCCGAAAGCGUGGGUAGCAAACAGGAUUAGAUACCCUGGUAGUCCACGCCCUAAACGAUGACAAUUACCUGUUGGUGUGCUUGCCACA
This 542-nucleotide ribosomal RNA is filed under the name uncultured bacterium. RNAcentral describes it as "bacterial SSU rRNA". It matches the Rfam family "Bacterial small subunit ribosomal RNA", at positions 305 to 839 of the family's 1533-position model. The record is from RNAcentral.